AACGAACGCUGGCGGCAGGCCUAACACAUGCAAGUCGAGCGAGGACUCCGGUCCUAGCGGCGGAGGGGUGAGUAACGCGUGGGAAGUUGCCCUUUGCUUCGGAAUAGCUCUGGGAAACUGGGAGUAAUACCGGAGGAGCUCUUACGGGGUAAGAGCUAUCGGCGAAGGAUCGGCGCGCGUUGGAUUAGGUGGUUGGUGGGGUAAUGGCCUACCAAGCCGACGAUGCAUAGCUGGUUGGAGAGGAUGAUAAGCCACACUGGGAAUGAGACCCGGCCCCGACUCCUACGGGAGGCAGCAGUGGGGAAUCUUAGACAAUGGAGGAAACCCUGAUCUAGCCAUGCCGCGUGAGCGAUGCAGGCCUUAGGGUUGUAAAGCUCUUUCAGCUGGGAAGAUAAUGACGGUACCAGCAGAAGAAGCCCCGGCUAACUACGUG
RNAcentral lists this ribosomal RNA (433 nucleotides) under uncultured bacterium. RNAcentral's name for it is "partial 16S ribosomal RNA". It matches the Rfam family "Bacterial small subunit ribosomal RNA", at positions 29 to 507 of the family's 1533-position model. The record is from RNAcentral.